Molecule: ribosomal RNA, 929 nt
Filed under: uncultured bacterium
Lineage: Bacteria
Description: bacterial SSU rRNA
Rfam family: Bacterial small subunit ribosomal RNA
Source: RNAcentral
CGGGAUUGGAAAUAGCAAUAUUACCAUGAGAGUGGCGCACGGGUGCGUAACACGUAUGCAAUCUGCCCCUAACUGGAAGAUAGCCCGGCGAAAGUCGGAUUAAUAUUCCAUAACAUUGCGAAACGGCAUCGUUUUGUAAUUAAAGCUCCGGCGGUUAGGGAUGAGCAUGCGCGACAUUAGCUAGAUGGCGAGGUAACGGCUCACCAUGGCUACGAUGUCUAGGGGGUCUGAGAGGAUUAUCCCCCACACUGGUACUGAGACACGGACCAGACUCCUACGGGAGGCAGCAGUAGGGAAUAUUGGGCAAUGGACGCAAGUCUGACCCAGCCAUGCCGCGUGCAGGAUGACGGCCCUAUGGGUUGUAAACUGCUUUUGUACAGGAAGAAAUCCCUUUACGUGUAGAGGGCUGACAUUACUGUAAGAAUAAGGAUCGGCUAACUCCGUGCCAGCAGCCGCGGUAAUACGGAGGAUCCAAGCGUUGUCCGGAUUUAUUGGGUUUAAAGGGUGCGUAGGCGGACCAUUAAGUCAGAGGUGAAAGUUUGCAGCUUAACUGUAAAAUUGCCUUUGAAACUGGUGGUCUUGAGUACAGUUGAGGUGGGCGGAAUGUGUCAUGUAGCGGUGAAAUGCUUAGAUAUGAUACAGAACACCGAUUGCGAAGGCAGCUCACUAAACUGUAACUGACGCUGAGGCACGAAAGCGUGGGGAGCGAACAGGAUUAGAUACCCUGGUAGUCCACGCCCUAAACGUUGAAUACUCGUUGUUGGCGAUAUACAGUCAGCGACUAAGCGAAAGCAUUAAGUAUUCCACCUGGGGAGUACGACCGCAAGGUUGAAACUCAAAGGAAUUGACGGGGGCCCGCACAAGCGGAGGAGUAUGUGGUUUAAUUCGAUGAUACGCGAGGAACCUUACCUGGGCUUGAAAGUUAGCGA